GCCCGUCAAGCCAUGGAAGCCGGGGGUGGCCUGAAGUGCGCUGCCGCAAGAGCGUCCUAGGGUAAAACCGGUGACUGGGGCUAAGUCGUAACAAGGUACC
RNAcentral lists this ribosomal RNA (100 nucleotides) under uncultured bacterium. RNAcentral's name for it is "partial 16S ribosomal RNA". The record is from RNAcentral.